AUUAGAUACCCUGGUAGUCCACGCAGUAAACGAUGAAUGUCAGCUGUCCGGGACUUCGGUCCUGGGUGGCACAGCGAAAGCGUUAAACAUUCCACCUGGGGAGUACGCCGGCAACGGUGAAACUCAAAGGAAUUGACGGGGGCCCGCACAAGCGGAGGAACAUGUGGUUUAAUUCGAUGAUACGCGAGGAACCUUACCCGGGCUCAAACGUGACUGGAAUGUCCGCGAAAGCGGGCAGCCCUUCGGGGCCGGUUACGAGGUGCUGCAUGGUUGUCGUCAGCUCGUGCCGUGAGGUGUCGGCUUAAGUGCCAUAACGAGCGCAACCCCUACCGACAGUUGCUAACAAGCGAAGUUGAGGACUCUGUCGGGACUGCCGGCGCAAGCUGCGAGGAAGGCGGGGAUGACGUCAAAUCAGCACGGCCCUUACGUCCGGGGCGACACACGUGUUACAAUGGCGGGUACAGCGGGAGGCCAUGCGGCGACGCAGAGCGGAACCCGAAAACCCGUCUCAGUUCGGAUUGGAGUCUGCAACCCGACUCCAUGAAGCUGGAUUCGCUAGUAAUCGCGCAUCAGCCACGGCGCGGUGAAUACGUUCCCGGGCCUUGUACACACCGCCCGUCAAGCCAUGGGAGCCGGGGGUGCCUGAAGUGCGUGACCGCAAGGAGCGCCCUAAGGUAAAACCGGUGACUGGGGCUAAGUCGUAACAAGGUAAC
RNAcentral lists this ribosomal RNA (713 nucleotides) under uncultured bacterium. RNAcentral's name for it is "bacterial SSU rRNA". It matches the Rfam family "Bacterial small subunit ribosomal RNA", at positions 777 to 1500 of the family's 1533-position model. The record is from RNAcentral.